Molecule: long non-coding RNA, 1595 nt
Organism: Cavia porcellus (domestic guinea pig)
Lineage: Eukaryota; Metazoa; Chordata; Mammalia; Rodentia; Caviidae
Exons: 2
Source: RefSeq, a predicted model, not a curated record
UGGGAGCCGUGGCACUGUCAAGUCAUCAGACGCGGUGAUUGCGAGGCCUGUGGGAAAGUACAAAAGCCUGGGCUAGAUUACCCCUCUCAUCGAGCCCGCCUGUGUGGCACCUGUUUCUUAUCACCCCACUAAGUUCCCGCCUCACAGGGUAGUCUGCCUAGCUAUUAAUCCUAUAUAUAGCCAGUGCCUCCACCCCCGAGAGAGAGAGAAGCACAAAAGGAGCCGCGGGGAGCGGACCGGUAGAGGCUUCGGGGGAGACUGAAGCACGGAAGGAGCCGCGGGGAGCGGACCAGUAGAGGCUUCGGGGGAGACUGAAGCACAAAAGGAGCCGCGGGGAGCAGACCGGUAGAGGCUUCGGGAGAGACUGAAGCACGGAAGGAGCCGCGGAGAGCGGACCGGUAGAGGCUUCGGGGCAGACUGUAUAAGGAGAGAAUAAAGAAAAGCCUGACCACCGCCAGACCUUGUCGUGUGUCUUUCCUGCCGGCCGGGAGCGGACAUCGACAUCGGCGGACAUCGGCGGUGGACUGCAUUCUCCUACACAGUGCUGCAGCUGCAGGACAGGAAUCGGGACGAGAGCCAAUGUGGGUCCCAGAGAGGUUGACGCGACAAGUCCCUCGACUGAAGAUCAGGCCUGUUCCGCCAGAGGCCAACCGCAGACCCAACAACAAGAUGAGCCCUAAAAGAACUGCAGGACAAUCCCUUUUUGGGGGCCUGGAACGGCUUGCUCCCCUAUGUGCUACCCUUGUAUACGCAUGGCUCGCUCGCAUGGCCUACGACCGCGUUUAAAAGUGACAGGCUUCCCACAUUCUCCUCCCUAGACAACAACAUGUAGCAGGGUGGGUGAGUCAAUGACGGGUAAGAGUGUGCCUCCCCAGCACGACUCAACCUAAGCCAGGCCCUACCCCGUUCCGCUCGAAAGCCGCUGGAUUGUUAGAUAAAUUUCUCUCCGAGGGGAUUCGUGGAGAGAGAUGAGUGCAUGCCUAUGUGCAACCAGGUUCCGUCCGGUUCAUUCCUGGCCCUAGAAAAAAGGACGAGGGCCUCAGGGCCUUGGUGGACCCUGGGACGGCCGACCAGGGUCUACGCUAAGGGCCUACGGUGGGCCUCAGUUCGGGGCAUAGGCCUCUGCACUCUAUCCAGGACGGGCUGCGAUGCGCGUAGCCAUCAUUUAAAAUGGAAUAGGGGGAGAUGUUGGGAGCCGUGGCACUGUCAAGUCAUCAGACGCGGUGAUUGCGAGGCCUGUGGGAAAGUACAAAAGCCUGGGCUAGAUUACCCCUCUCAUCGAGCCCGCCUGUGUGGCACCUGUUUCUUAUCACCCCACUAAGUUCCCGCCUCACAGGGUAGUCUGCCUAGCUAUUAAUCCUAUAUAUAGCCAGUGCCUCCACCCCCGGGAGAGAGAGAGAAGCACGAAAGGAGCCGCGGGGAGCGGACCGGUAGAGGCUUCGAGAGAGACUGAAGCACAAAAGGAGCCGCGGGGAGCGGACCGGUAGAGGCUUCGGGGCAGACUGAAGCACGGAAGGAGCCGCGGAGAGCGGACCGGUAGAGGCUUCGGGGCAGACUGUAUAAGGAGAGAAUAAAGAAAAGCCUGACCACCGCCA